This 2613-nucleotide long non-coding RNA is filed under the name Anthonomus grandis grandis. Its description in RNAcentral is "uncharacterized LOC126749537". Lineage: Eukaryota; Metazoa; Arthropoda; Insecta; Coleoptera; Curculionidae. The record is from RNAcentral.
AGAACUGCAGCAUGUGGGUACCACCGACCGAUCAAACCGGAGACGGUCGUACCAGUUUGAACGAAAAAUUGGGUUAUUAAUUAAAGAAACAACAAAAUCAAGUUUAUUAAUAUUUUAUUAUUAUUUAAUGUCCACUUAAUUAUAAAGAUUCAAAGCGUUCUAUUCCUAACAGUCUAUUGGAUACAAUAAAUGGUACUUAUUAAAUAUCACAAAGGAAAAUUUUAUUUAUCCCCUCUUUCUCCUUACAAAAGUAUAUGGGGUAAGUAUACUUGACUUAAUAAUAAUAUCCUUGUCUAGCUCAUUAUAGUACCUAGGGAACUUGAACUAAUAAAAAACAUAUGCAAAAUGUUCGAUCUAAUAAAGUACAUGUUAUUGGUAAAAAACCGAAAUUUCAAUUUUUCUCAAAAACUAAAAUUUUUUUAGUUUUUGAUUAUUACGUACAAGGUGCCCCUUUGCAAGGAGUACUUGACAGUUUUUAAAUAAAAGCUCUAUCUUUAAUAACAAAAAAGUUAUGCAAAAUUUUCGAUCUAAAAAAGUACAUGUUAAUCGUAAAAAACCGAAAUUUCGAUUUUUCUCAAAAACUAUAAUUUUUUCAAUUUUGAUAUUUAUGUGUAAGGUGCCCCUUUAAGAGGAGUACUUGGCAGUUUUUAAAUGAAAGCUCUAUCUUUAAUAACAAAAAAGUUAUGCAAAAUUUUCGAUCUAAAAAAGUACAUGUUAAUUGUAAAAAACCGAAAUUUCGAUUUAUUUCAAAGACUAUAAUUUUUUCAAUUUUGAUAAUUAUGUGCAAGGUGCUCCUUUGCGAGGAGUACUUGGCAGUUUUUAAAUGAAAGCUCUAUCUUUAAUAAUAAAAAAGUUAUGCAAAAUUUUCGAUCUAAAAAAGUACAUGUUAUUCGUAAAAAACCUAAAUUUUGAUUUUUCUCAAAAACUAUAAUUUUUUCAAUUUUGAUAUUUAUGUGUAAGGUGCCCCUUUAAGAGGAGUACUUGGCAGUUUUUAAAUGAAAGCUCUAUCUUUAAUAACAAAAAAGUUAUGCAAAAUUUUCGAUCUAAAAAAGUACAUGUUAAUUGUAAAAAACAGAAAUUUCGAUUUUUCUCAAAAACUAUAAUUUUUUCAAUUUUGAUAUUUAUGUGUAAGGUGCCCCUUUGCAAAGAGUACUUGGCAGUUUUUUAGUGAAAGCUCUAUCUUUAAUAACAAAAAAGUUAUGCAAAAUUUUCGAUCUAAAAAAGUACAUGUUAUUCGUAAAAAACCUAAAUUUCGAUUUUUCUCAAAAACUAUAAUUUUUUCAAUUUUGAUAAUUAUGUGCAAGGUGCCCCUUUUCAAAGAGUACUUGGCAGUUUUUAAAUGAAAGCUCUAUCUUUAAUAACAAAAAAGUUAUGCAAAAUUUUCGAUCUAAAAAAGUACAUGUUAAUUGUAAAAAACCGAAAUUUCGAUUUAUUUUAAAGACUACAAUUUUUUUAGUUUUUGAUUAUUACGUACAAGGUGCCCCUUUGCGAGGAGUACUUGGCAGUUUUUAAAUGAAAGCUCUAUCUUUAAUAACAAAAAAGUUAUGCAAAAUUUUCGAUCUAAAAAAGUACAUGUUAAUUGUAAAAAAUCGAAAUUUCGAUUUUUCUCAAAAACUAUAAUUUUUUCAAUUUUGAUAAUUAUGUGCAAGGUGCCCCUUUGCGAGGAGUACUUAACAGUUUUUAAAUGAAAGCUCUAUCUGUAAUAACAAAAAAGUUAUGCAAAAUUUUCGAUCUAAAAAAGUACAUGUUAAUUGUAAAAAACCGAAAUUUCGAUUUUUCUCAAAAACUAUAAUUUUUUCAAUUUUGAUAAUUAUGUGCAAGGUGCCCCUUCGCUAAGAGUACUUGACUGUUUUUAAAUGAAAGCUCUAUCUUUAAUAACAAAAAAGUAAUGCAAAAUUUUCGAUCUAAAAAAGUACAUGUUAAUUGUAAAAAACCGAAAUUUCGAUUUUUCUCAAAAACUAUAAUUUUUUCAAUUUUGAUAAUUAUGUGCAAGGUGCCCCUUUGCUAGGAGUACUUGACUGUUUUUAAAUGAAAGCUCUAUCUUUAAUAACAAAAAAGUUAUGCAAAAUUUUCGAUAUAAAAAAGUACAUGUUAAUUGUAAAAAACCGAAAUUUCGAUUUUUUUCAAAAACUAUAAUUUUUUAAAUUUUAAUAAUUAUGUGCAAGAUGCCUCUUUGCUAGGAGUACUUAACAGUUUUUAAAUGAAGGCUCUAUCUUUAAUAGCAAAAAAGUUAUGCAAAAUUUUCGAUCUAAAAAAGUACAUGUUAAUUGUAAAAAACCGAAAUUUAGAUUUUUUUCAAAAACUACAAUUUUUUUAGUUUUUGAUUAUUACGUACAAGGUGCCCCUUUGCGAGGAGUACUUGGCAGUUUUUAAAUGAAAGGUCUAUCUUUAAUAACAAAAAAGUUGUGCAAAAUUUUCGAUCUAAAAAAGUACAUGUUAAUUGUAAAAAACGGAAAUUUCGAUUUUUCUCAAAAACUAUAAUUUUUUCAAUUUUGAUAAUUACGCGAAAGGUGCCCCUUCGCUAGGAGUACUUAACAGUUUUUAAAUGAAAGCUCUAUCUUUAAUAACAAAAAAGUUAUGCAAAAUUUUCGAUCUAAAAAAGUACAUGUUAAU